UACGGAGGGUCCAAGCGUUAUCCGGAAUCAUUGGGGUUAAAGGGUCCGUAGGCGGUUUUGUAAGUCAGUGGUGAAAGCCCAUCGCUCAACGGUGGAACGGCCAUUGAUACUGCAAGACUUGAAUUAUUAGGAAGUAACUAGAAUAUGUAGUGUAGCGGUGAAAUGCUUAGAGAUUACAUGGAAUACCAAUUGCGAAGGCAGGUUACUACUAAUGGAUUGACGCUGAUGGACGAAAGCGUGGGUAGCGAACAGG
RNAcentral lists this ribosomal RNA (253 nucleotides) under uncultured bacterium. Its description in RNAcentral is "partial 16S ribosomal RNA". It matches the Rfam family "Bacterial small subunit ribosomal RNA", at positions 524 to 776 of the family's 1533-position model. The record is from RNAcentral.